Molecule: ribosomal RNA, 498 nt
Filed under: uncultured bacterium
Lineage: Bacteria
Description: bacterial SSU rRNA
Rfam family: Bacterial small subunit ribosomal RNA
Source: RNAcentral
UCAGGACGAACGCUGGCGGCGUGCUUAACACAUGCAAGUCGAACGAAGCAGCAGUGAAGGAGACUUCGGUCAAUGGAUCUGUUGACUUAGUGGCGGACGGGUGAGUAACGCGUGAGCAACCUGCCUUUCAGAGGGGGAUAACGUUUGGAAACGAACGCUAAUACCGCAUGACAUAGCUUUAUCGCAUGGUAGGGCUAUCAAAGGAGCAAUCCGCUGAGAGAUGGGCUCGCGUCCGAUUAGAUAGUUGGUGGGGUAACGGCCUACCAAGUCGACGAUCGGUAGCCGGACUGAGAGGUUGAACGGCCACAUUGGGACUGAGACACGGCCCAGACUCCUACGGGAGGCAGCAGUGGGGAAUAUUGCACAAUGGGCGCAAGCCUGAUGCAGCAACGCCGCGUGAGGGAAGACGGUUUUCGGAUUGUAAACCUCUGUCCUUGGUGACGAAAUCAUGACGGUAGCCGAGGAGGAAGCCACGGCUAACUACGUGCCAGCCGCCGC